AAAGACUUGUCGUUACAGAAAUGCCAAGAGGUGGAGCAAACAGCUAGAGAACAAGUCACUGAUAAUGCUAUCUUAGAUCAGAUUUCUAAGACUGUACAAGUUGAUAUACCUCAAUCCUUGUUUGAGGAACAAGGAAGGCAGCUUUAUGGAGCCAACCUAUUAGAAAUACAGG
Long non-coding RNA from Glycine soja, 172 nucleotides. RefSeq lists it as uncharacterized. The transcript is spliced from 2 exons. NCBI's taxonomy places the organism in Eukaryota, Viridiplantae, Streptophyta, Magnoliopsida, Fabales, Fabaceae. The record is from RefSeq and is a predicted model, not a curated record.